This 471-nucleotide ribosomal RNA is filed under the name uncultured bacterium. Its description in RNAcentral is "bacterial SSU rRNA". It matches the Rfam family "Bacterial small subunit ribosomal RNA", at positions 335 to 802 of the family's 1533-position model. The record is from RNAcentral.
ACUCCUACGGGAGGCAGCAGUGGGGAAUAUUGCACAAUGGGGGAAACCCUGAUGCAGCCAUGCCGCGUGUGUGAAGAAGGCCUUGGGUUGUAAAGCACUUUCAGUAGGGAGGAAGGUAGUGUAGUUAACACCUGCAUUAUUUGACGUUACCUACAGAAGAAGCACCGGCUAACUCCGUGCCAGCAGCCGCGGUAAUACGGAGGGUGCGAGCGUUAAUCGGAAUUACUGGGCGUAAAGCGCAUGCAGGCGGCCUGUUAAGUCAGAUGUGAAAGCCCGGGGCUUAACCUCGGAAUUGCAUUUGAAACUGGCAGGCUAGAGUCUUGUAGAGGGGUUAGAAUUUCAGGUGUAGCGGUGAAAUGCGUAGAGAUCUGAAGGAAUACCAGUGGCGAAGGCGGCCCCCUGGACAAAGACUGACGCUCAGAUGCGAAAGCGUGGGAGCAAACAGGAUUAGAUACCCCUGGUAGACUGUCA